GAGAAACAUGACAAGACACAUAGUAAUCAAAUUGGCAAAAAUUAAAGGCAAAGAAAAAUUAUUGAAAGCAGCAAGGGAAAAAUGACAAAUAACAUACAAGAGAACUCCCAUAAGGUUAACAGCUGAUUUCUCAGCAGAAACUCUACAAGCCAGAAGGGAGUGGCAUGAUAUACUUAAAGUGAUGAAAGGGAAGAACCUACAACCAAGAUUACUCUACCCGGCAAGGAUCUCAUUCAGAUUCGAUGGAGAAAUCAAAAGCUUUACAGACAAGCAAAAGCUAAUAGAAUUCAGCACCAUGAA
This is a long non-coding RNA of Orcinus orca (killer whale), 300 nucleotides long. RefSeq lists it as uncharacterized. The record is from RefSeq and is a predicted model, not a curated record. Lineage: Eukaryota; Metazoa; Chordata; Mammalia; Artiodactyla; Delphinidae. The transcript has 3 exons.